This is a long non-coding RNA of Zingiber officinale, 1050 nucleotides long. RefSeq lists it as uncharacterized. The record is from RefSeq and is a predicted model, not a curated record. NCBI's taxonomy places the organism in Eukaryota, Viridiplantae, Streptophyta, Magnoliopsida, Zingiberales, Zingiberaceae. The transcript is spliced from 4 exons.
UUUCACCGUUGAUUUAGCCCGGAAUCAUCUCAACCGUCCAUUCCAGAUCCAGAUCUGAUUUAAAUAAGCUACACUACCUAGCUUCUUCGUCGACUCCACAGCGCACAGCAGCUUCGUCCCGCGGCGAUUUUUCUGGAUUCUGACCACCUUUCCUUCUCCUUUCAAUCUCCCGAGCUUCAAUCUCGGUGGAGAGCUUCUCGGCGGCAUCAUCACGAUAUUCUGGAGCCAUUGGAGGGUGUUCUCUCCGGUGGAAUUUGGCUCGCGGCAUCUCCUAGUUUCACCGCAGAUUUGGAGGUGGUCCUCCAAAUCUGAGCUCCGAUUCUCAUCAGAAGCGUUCAGCGGUGGUCCUCCGGCGUUGCUGAACUCCAUCCGACGUCCAUCCGCGUCCCACAGCUUCCCAUCAGAUCCAGAGACCAGAUUUCAGAUUUCGGCCAUUCUUGGGGUUUUGGGUUGUUUCCAGCGUGCCGGGGGCGGUCCGUCGGCACUUGUGAGCAUUCCUCGAGCUGAUACGACACUGAGAUGCUCCACUGAGAGUAUUUAUAAGAUAAACUUCGGGCAGAUUUAUUUGAGCAGGCCUAUGAUGACAGUCUGAUGGUGAAACCGCCACAUUAUUCCCAAAAGAAGCAAGAUCGAGGAACUCGACUUAUUCUGCUUCAUUUAAACUGAGCCUAAAAGAAUUAUAAAGAAGGGGCAUGAUUGUGAAGAAGUGACAGAGCCUCAAAAGUUUGCAAAAGUGUUUAUAGGAAAGGUGCCUAUAAUGCUCCGGUCCAGUAAUUGCACUUUGUAUCAGAACUCUGAGAAGGAUCUCACUGAACUUGGGCAGUGCCCGUAGAGCAACUUCAACCGGUGCCCUUUUCACCAUUUUGGUGUAAAAGGGACAUCAUAUCUCUUCCAAUAGAGAUCCCAAAAUUUAUACUAAAAUGGUGCAAGUGAACAGUGCAGCACCAUCUUGCAUCAUUUUCGUGCAAGUAUGGAUUUUUGGUUUUCAGUCCUCUUUUACAUAAUUCUGACUUGUUCACCGUGAAUAAAUUCAUGCAUUAUCGGAUCAAC